GGAAAUGUGGCUUAGUGGUACAGUGCUUGCCUAGCAUGCAUGAAGCCCUGAGUUCAAUUCCUCAGUACCA
RNAcentral lists this transfer RNA (70 nucleotides) under Dipodomys ordii (Ord's kangaroo rat). It matches the Rfam family "tRNA". Rfam says of the family: Transfer RNA (tRNA) molecules are approximately 80 nucleotides in length. Their secondary structure includes four short double-helical elements and three loops (D, anti-codon, and T loops). Further hydrogen bonds mediate the characteristic L-shaped molecular structure. tRNAs have two regions of fundamental functional importance: the anti-codon, which is responsible for specific mRNA codon recognition, and the 3' end, to which the tRNAs corresponding amino acid is attached (by aminoacyl-tRNA synthetases). tRNAs cope with the degeneracy of the genetic code in two manners: having more than one tRNA (with a specific anti-codon) for a particular amino acid; and 'wobble' base-pairing, i.e. permitting non-standard base-pairing at the 3rd anti-codon position. The record is from Rfam by way of RNAcentral. Lineage: Eukaryota; Metazoa; Chordata; Mammalia; Rodentia; Heteromyidae.